Non-coding RNA from Neolamprologus brichardi, 920 nucleotides. The record is from RefSeq and is a predicted model, not a curated record. Lineage: Eukaryota; Metazoa; Chordata; Actinopteri; Cichliformes; Cichlidae.
ACUCAUUAUUUCAAAUCACAACUCAAUGUUACUGUAUGUUACUAUUUAUUAUGGCAUGUUUUAAGGUUUUUUUGUAAGGAUAAACCCUGAAGAGGGAACAAAAUGUACCUCCAAGGUUGGGACAAGCAGAAAAACUGGGACCACUGUGAAGCGAUUAACCCUCAUGUCACAACUUUCCUCCAGCGGCUUAUUGAAUUUGAGUGGAGAACUUCAAAUUAGAUGAUCCAUGGCCCAUGCUUGCUGGACAUUUACACAAGAUGAACAACAAUGAAGACAAGCUCUCUUGCCAUCUUGCAAGACGCUGUCUCUGUCCAAUAGGUUUUUUUGAGUGCAACAGUUUUGAUUUUUUUUUCCUUCUUUACCCGUUUGUUAAAAAUUAUUUCAGCUACUUACACUUUAAUUGUCACAUGUAUUGGCUCACCCUACAAAUCAAUGAACUCAGUCCACAAAGCAAGAUCAGGGUUCAGUGCAGGUCAGUCAAGUUCCUUCACACCACACACGCUCAUCCAUGUCCUUGUGGACCCUGUUUUGUGCAUUGAUUUGGUGGUGUGAGCCAGUAUUUUGGACAAAGUGUAUAUAAAGGCAGACGGGACUUGAUAUUAUAUUCAUUACAAUUCAGUUUAUUUGUAUGGUGCCAACAAAAUGAAUGCCAAGGCACUUCACAUUGUAGGUUUAAGACCCUACAAAAUAUAACUAAGAAAACCCAACACUUGAGCAUAUGUUGUCUGCCAUGAUAUGGAUAUGACAAAAUAUCGUUAUUGUUUGUACAACCAGCUGAGAAAAUAAUGGAUUACAUAGUUUAGUAAAAACAAGUGCUUCCUCAAUGAAAAUAUGUUUUUAAUUCUUUUCAGUUUUUGAUUUUGGAAAUGUGUAUUUCUGCAGGGAAAAAUCAGAACUGAAAUAAAGUGGUGUAAAGCACA